UGCAAGUCGAACGAUGAACCUCACUUGUGGGGGGAUUAGUGGCGAACGGGUGAGUAACACGUGAGUAACCUGCCCUUGACUCUGGGAUAAGCCUGGGAAACCGGGUCUAAUACUGGAUACGACCUUCUGGCGCAUGCCAUGUUGGUGGAAAGCUUUUGUGGUUUUGGAUGGACUCGCGGCCUAUCAGCUUGUUGGUGGGGUAAUGGCCUACCAAGGCGACGACGGGUAGCCGGCCUGAGAGGGUGACCGGCCACACUGGGACUGAGACACGGCCCAGACUCCUACGGGAGGCAGCAGUGGGGAAUAUUGCACAAUGGGCGCAAGCCUGAUGCAGCGACGCCGCGUGAGGGAUGAAGGCCUUCGGGUUGUAAACCUCUUUCAGUAGGGAAGAAGCCGGCCUUUUGGGUUGGUGACGGUACCUGCAGAAGAAGCGCCGGCUAACUACGUGCCAGCAGCCGCGGUAAUACGUAGGGCGCAAGCGUUAUCCGGAAUUAUUGGGCGUAAAGAGCUCGUAGGCGGUUUGUCGCGUCUGCCGUGAAAGUCCGGGGCUUAACACCGGAUCUGCGGUGGGUACGGGCAGACUAGAGUGCAGUAGGGGAGACUGGAAUUCCUGGUGUAGCGGUGAAAUGCGCAGAUAUCAGGAGGAACACCGAUGGCGAAGGCAGGUCUCUGGGCUGUAACUGACGCUGAGGAGCGAAAGCAUGGGGAGCGAACAGGAUUAGAUACCCUGGUAGUCCAUGCCGUAAACGUUGGGCACUAGGUGUGGGGGACAU
RNAcentral lists this ribosomal RNA (773 nucleotides) under Arthrobacter sp. RNAcentral describes it as "bacterial SSU rRNA". It matches the Rfam family "Bacterial small subunit ribosomal RNA", at positions 56 to 832 of the family's 1533-position model. Lineage: Bacteria; Bacillati; Actinomycetota; Actinomycetes; Micrococcales; Micrococcaceae. The record is from RNAcentral.